Molecule: long non-coding RNA, 1129 nt
Filed under: Manacus vitellinus (golden-collared manakin)
Lineage: Eukaryota; Metazoa; Chordata; Aves; Passeriformes; Pipridae
Description: lncRNA (ENSMVIG00005007553.1)
Source: RNAcentral
UGGCCUCCCGAGCUAGUGGUCAUGGCUGCCUUGGCUUUGCUACAGGCUGUUUCAAUCGUAUCCCUCACAGUUGGUGCUGGUCCACUGUCUGUCUUCAACCCAACAGGCACAUUUAAGCUGAGGUCUGCCAGGCGUGGCUCUUCUGGGGAGCCAUUUGGAAACUGUGGACCUACAUAUACUGUUUCCAUUUUUUAAUGACUGAAGAAGACACUUCAGGACUCCAUGCUGCUCUUGGGAUGAAAAUUUCACCGGUGAGAAUAGAAGAUAUAAACCACAGAAGACUGAGAAUUUAAAUCUCAAAUUACCAUGUAUUUUGAGAUGCAGUUUGGUGGAAAGGGUCUUUCCAAAGCAGGGUGAAAGAAGACUUGUCUGACUUAUGUGAUGCCAAUAUUUGACCUUGUACUAUUUGUACCAGGUUGUUCCAUUGGAACUACUCUAAACUUCUCUAAUCUCUCACCUCCCUCAUCUGGACACUCCUCUCCUUCCCACGUAGCCUUAUUUCCAAACAAUCUCUUUCUUCAUAUGCUUCCUGUCCAAAAACUUCUUCAACCAAGCCCAGGAGAACAGAAUUCUCAAGAGCUACAGAAGUAUUGCAAGAGAGGCGAGAAAGAUGCGCUCCCACCAAGGCCUCAGUCACUGAAAAAUGAACCCAAAGAGGAAAGACAGCCCAAGGCAACCCAGCCACAUCCUGCUGCAGAGGAGAGCAGAGAAGAUGGCAAGAGAAGUGAGGAUCAAUGAGACCUGUAUGAUGAUAGGCUUUCAGAAGGAAGGACUAUGUUCAGCGUCCACUUCCUGAGCCCUGAAUGGAAGGUCUAAACUCAGUUUAUGCUGUCGUAUGCCAGAGAAGUCCUGGUGUACGCAGAACUUCAGGGGGUGAGAAUAUCCCCCAGGACCAUCAGGAAAUCCCAGACUGUUACUUUUCACCACCCAUCCAGAAAAGACAAUGCCAUCCCAACCAAUUGCAAUGGGCCAACACAUUCCUCAUUGCUCUGGCACCUACUCAUGCCAGUACCACUGUAUGGGGAGUUCAUGCCUCUGAGUGCCAGACCUUUUUUUCUCAGGAAUACAGUCACAGCUGCAGAUAGUAAAUUGAGCUAUCACUUUUUCUUCCUCAUUUCAUCCAGGUGCU